Molecule: RNA transcript, 781 nt
Organism: Boleophthalmus pectinirostris (great blue-spotted mudskipper)
Lineage: Eukaryota; Metazoa; Chordata; Actinopteri; Gobiiformes; Gobiidae
Exons: 2
Source: RefSeq, a predicted model, not a curated record
AAACAGCACAAUGACACAUGUCCCCUUUAAACAGACACACUGACUGAGGACAAGUUUGAAGAACCUGUGAUGCAGAUUAGAGACACAUCUAAGUUUAACAUGUCCCAAUUGUCCAGUUACUUACAAUUUUCUAGGGGAACCAUUUUUGUCCAGGACAGUUUCAUUUGUUAAUUUUUUAAAAUUAUUAUUAAACAAUUCAAAAACAGUGUCUGAUUUUCAUUGUUUUUUCAGUAAAUUUUUAUUUAUUAUUGCUCUUUUUACUUUCAAGUUAUUUCAGUGGCCAUUAUUGAAUUUCUUUCAUUACCAAAGACAAUUUUGUCCACGCCUGUAUAUUUACUACAGGUACUAACCAAACCACGUAUAUAUUAUAUUAUUAUUAGUAUUAGGUUUUCAUGUGUUUAUAAUACUAUCAGUGUAAAAGCUCACUGUGUUUAAUCUCUGCUUUUCCUGUUUGGGGAAAUGUGCUCACUUGAAGUCAUUUAUGUCUGUCAGGUUUGGUCUGCUGCCCCUCAGUUCGUCCAGCGCGAAAGUCGAAGAGCACAGGCAGGACCACAGAGGCCAUCCACCCGCUGGUGUCCACAGCAUCCACAGCAGCCAGCGAGGACCCCUACAGGCCGGGCAGUCUGUUCAAACAGCUUGCACAGCAGGAGGACGACGCAGCCGCCUCCUCUCUCUUCAGACUCGGCUGGCUCUCAGGCAUGACCAAGUAACUGCUCCUCCCAUUCAUUUAUGAGCUUUUGUAAAACUUUUGUAAAAAAUGAUUGUCUAUGAAGAACUUGAA